UGGGGAGGAAAGUGUGCGGCAGGUGGCUGGUCCGCACCAAGGAGCUCCUCGCGCCUGCUCCUCUUGUCUCGGUGCUGGGGCGGGAGCUGCGCAGGCCUCAUCCCACGGGAAGGAGAAGGUAGGCGAAGGGCUGCCCUCCAUCUGGAGGCGGGAGGGGAGCAGGCCCAGGCCUCCAGUGCCGACCCAGGCGUUGACGCCGCUGUAGCUUGCGUCGCCUGGGCGGUGGACUCAGGGGACCUCCUGGCUACGGGUGCGAUCUCGUGCUCCAGGGACCCUCCCGGCCCCCACCAAUCCCUCCCCUUCUCUGUGUUCCCCCAGGUUGGCGAAGGAGCUGUAGCCGGGUCCCCUUCUUAUCCAGCCCGAGACACUGCGCUCCCUUGGGCGUCCCCGCGCUGGGAAUCCCGCUCGGAGUUUUUCCAGGCCCGGCCGGGCUGCGCGGGGAAAGGCCCCGGUGGGAGAGGUGGACCCGGAGCGGCGGGUCUGCAAUCGGUUUUAAGGGCUCGCAGUGGGUGAUUCAGGGUGCGAAUAACCUCCCCGCGAACAGGAACGCCCGCGCAAGACAACCAGCCCCAACCCGGCAUUCCCAGAGCCGCGCGCGGGAGGGACGCAGGGACUCCGGGACAGCAAAUCCCCGGGGGAGAAGGGAAGGGGGAAGACGGGGCAGGGGCAGCCCCACCCUUCUUGGGCUCCGCUAGCGACCAGCCAGCGCCCCUUCAGACGCAGCCUUUCUGGCUCCUGGCGCCGGCCUUCUGCUCUGGGCCUCGUCCCAAUGCCCCGCAAGGUCCCCAGCAGAGGCAGUCAGGCUCCUCCUCGCCCCACCCAGACACAGCUGCUUUUGGUAUCGGCGACAGCACUCCUGAGCGUCCCUGUCCCUAUUCGCUGCCGUUGCCAGCUCCGAUUCCGCGCAGCCUCUCCGGCCUGGCCCCUGGAAUCCCCGCCCAGGGCGAUGGUAGGGGCCUAACCUGCCGGCUCCGCCCACGGGCCCUUGGGCUCCCUGAAGCCCGCCCAGCCGACAUGAGUGCGCUGCGGGGUCCACCUUGGGGUUUGUUGGCUCAGGGCAGCUCCAUGACCCCGCCUCCGGGGCCCAGUGUGCGUAGUGACUCAGUGUACACCCUUUCCUCGUCAAGGAACGCUUGAGAAAGUGGCGAAGGGGCCUACGGGGGACCCGGUUGGACCCUGCUUCUUCGGUUCCUCUGCCUCGGCCAGCGACGGUCUCCUGGCCCCUGGUCCGCGUCACCUUAGGGGGCAGAAGGAGGUGUGGUCAGUGUGGGAGUCUGGAGGGGCCAUGCACUUCCGGCGAAGACCACUGACUCGUGGCUUUGGUGGAGGGGCUCAGGCAGAUUUAGUUAGGCUGUCCCCGAUCCCUGACACACUGGAGCCAGGGCGGGAGUGGGGCUUGUGACCACUCCGGAGAGCUCUGGGGGCCCUGCUCUGGGACUCCGCACCGAUAGUCACUGUCUCAGAGCGCAUUCUCCAGGGGCCACUCUCGUGGGGGCACUGUAGGGGUCCCAGGGCAGGUGGGCAGCCUUUCUCGGGGGCGGCGUGAGAGCCGGAGAGCAGGGGACGGGGCGGGCCAGGCUAGGGGUCACGUCUGCGCUGAAGCAGCUGCGGAAGGAGAGAGAAACCGAGAGAACCGGUUCCCCCGCCUUGACAGCGGAGGCCCCCACACCAAAGCCCUCGGACUAAGCGGGGCAGGGACAGCCUCCAAAUAGAGCUGUUCACCGGGGCGCCUGCAGAGCCCGCAUCCCAACCCCGACCCAGGGGCCGGGGCGCAGGCCCGCGGAGGGAGGCGGUGCUACGAGACCCUCUGCGGAUUCUCUGCGGGCGGGAGGCGUCCAGAUGGGACAGGGCCCGGGGAACGGCAGGAAAUGGGCUGCUUUUCUCACUUGACUGACGGGAAAACUAAGGCUCAGUCAACUAUUAAGCAAGCGUGGUGUCGACCUUAGAGCAGGCAAUCACCCCUCGUUUUAAAGCCAAGGUUUCCCUCGCAGUCGAUUUGGAUCAAGACUACCCCACAAUCUCCCCACCACAGGACUGAAGCGAGGCUCAAAUCUUAGAAUCAGCCCCACGAAAUGAAGGGGUUGUCCUAAUUCCAGCACUGAGUGUAAGAAUAGAAACCUUAGAUGUGAGUGUAAGAAUGGAUACCUCAGAUGUGAUUUUAUGGAAGUCCCCAUUUUAGAAAUGGGAAAACUGAGACCCGAAGGCGAACGGCAAGUGCAGUAUCGGGACUCGAACCCAUGUCUGUGCCUGAGUGCGGGGCUAUUCCGGGCUGGGUUGUCUUGACUUCCGCGGCCCUCCUCCUUUGCCUGCAGGAAAACGCCGCGGCCGCGAUGGCGGCGGCUGUGCAGGGAGACGUGUACGUGCUGGUGGAGCAGGCCUUCGAGUACACCGGCAACAACGCGCGCCGCGUGGCCAUCCCGCCCAAUGAGCUCUACCUGCCGCUGCGGCGCAGCACCGAGCACCUGUGGCAUCUGCGGCGCUAGCCCGGCGGCUGCCCCUUCUACCUGCCAGCGCAGUACGUGCGCGAGCUGCCUGCGCUGGACAACCCUGCCACUGCCGCGCCGCCAGGUCCCCACCCGGCCCCGCGGCCCCCGAGCCGCUCUCCUAUGACUACCGGUUCGUGAGCGCGGCGGCGGCGUCAGCGGGCCCCAGUGGCCCCCAGGCGGAGCCCCGAGGCGGCCCCAGCUCCCUGUGCGGCCCUGCGCAGCGCGGCGCCGCGACCCAGCGCAGCAGCCUGGCGCCCGGCCUGCCCGCCUGCCUGUACCUGAGGCCCGCGGCGCCCGUGCGGCCCGCGCAGUCCCUGGACUACCUGGCGCGCGCCGCCGUCUCGCCUCCCGCCGGCCACCUCGGAAGCAGCGGCAGCUUCAAGGCCUGCAGCGUGGCGGUGUCCUGGGUGUGCCUGCUGCCCCUGGCGCGCAGCGACUCAGAGAACGUCUACGAGGCCAUCUAGGAGGUGCGCGGCCCGCCGCGGGAGGAGAGCACCAAGCAGGUACGACCCCGGGCGCGGAGGUGGGGAGGCUCACUGGGGACCGCGCCUGCAGGGAGCCUGGGCGCGAGGAGACCCGCUCCGCUCAGCAUCGGGCACGACGCCCACCUUUGUCCGAAGACUUCGGAUGAGCUCCCUCUACCCAGCCGCGAAACAGUGCAGGCCCCCCGUCCCUCAUCUGCAAUUCCCAGGCUCCAAAGCUCCCUGGAAGCCCAAAAGGUUUUUCGUAAUCCAAUUGGUGGCAAAAUUGCGCUUGAACUGA
Chlorocebus sabaeus (green monkey) is the source of this 3248-nucleotide non-coding RNA. NCBI's taxonomy places the organism in Eukaryota, Metazoa, Chordata, Mammalia, Primates, Cercopithecidae. The record is from RefSeq and is a predicted model, not a curated record.